RNAcentral lists this ribosomal RNA (117 nucleotides) under Acidobacteriota bacterium. The record is from RNAcentral. Lineage: Bacteria; Pseudomonadati; Acidobacteriota.
CCCGGUGAUUGCGGCGGAGGGGCCACACCCGUUCCCAUUCCAAACGCGGCCGUAAAGCGCUCCAGCCCCAGUGGUACUGCACGGGUAACCGUGUGGGAGAGUAGGACGUUGCCGGGG